RNAcentral lists this ribosomal RNA (433 nucleotides) under uncultured bacterium. Its description in RNAcentral is "bacterial SSU rRNA". It matches the Rfam family "Bacterial small subunit ribosomal RNA", at positions 917 to 1350 of the family's 1533-position model. The record is from RNAcentral.
GGGCCCGCACAAGCGGUGGAGUAUGUGGUUUAAUUCGAUGCAACGCGAAGAACCUUACCAGGGUUUGACAUCCUGCGAAUCUCUUGGAAACGAGAGAGUGCCUUCGGGAGCGCAGUGACAGGUGGUGCAUGGCUGUCGUCAGCUCGUGUCGUGAGAUGUUGGGUUAAGUCCCGCAACGAGCGCAACCCACAUCCCUAGUUGCCAGCAGUUCGGCUGGGCACUCUAUGGAAACUGCCCGUGAUAAGCGGGAGGAAGGUGUGGAUGACGUCAAGUCCUCAUGGCCCUUACGGGUUGGGCUACACACGUGCUACAAUGCUACGGACAAAGGGCUGCAAGUUCGCGAGGACAAGCAAAUCCCAUAAACCGUGGCUCAGUUCAGAUCGUAGGCUGCAACUCGCCUACGUGAAGGCGGAAUCGCUAGUAAUCGCAGGUC